UUUCUUUGGAAGAAAAAGACUGACUUUUUGUCCAUUUUUUCCUCUAUAGAGGUGGUUCAGCAGUGGGGGAUGAGGGACAGAAAGUCUCUUUCAGCAGGAGAUGUUAUGGGCAUCUCAAAUUAAGGUUUCCAACAAUGGUGACUUCAAUUUUUGUGAAUGGGAAGAAAAUGAAGAGUAAAGUGGCGAGGCCUUGGUUGUGGCUCAGUGGUAGAGCACUUGCCUAGCAUGCAUGAGGCACUGGGGUCGAUUCCCAGCACCACAAAAAAUAAACCAACAAAAUAAGCUGUAUCCAUCUACAAC
Molecule: long non-coding RNA, 300 nt
Filed under: Ictidomys tridecemlineatus (thirteen-lined ground squirrel)
Lineage: Eukaryota; Metazoa; Chordata; Mammalia; Rodentia; Sciuridae
Description: lncRNA (ENSSTOG00000029652.1)
Rfam family: tRNA (bases 193-259)
Source: RNAcentral